AUCUAGGCUGUAACCAGCUCCCUGUUACCCUCAAUGAUAUCGUGGUGAAUAUCUUAGUGCAUGAUGCUUCAUGGAUUUACGUGACAACUUUUCUGGCAUUACUCAGAGUGCACUAUAUGACUUUCUACCCUCUGGCUGAUGCCUCUCCUUGGCUAGAGCCUACCAGAAGCCACAGGACAACUGAACCCGCAGAAUUAUGUUCACGUGGAUGACACGCCAGGGGAGCAGGAAAGUAAAAGGAGGCUAGAGUUCAACAGUGUGAUUUUGGCUCACUGCAACCUCUGCCUCCCAGAUUCAAGCGAUUUUCCUGCCUCGGCCUCCUGAGUAGCUGGGACUACAGG
Molecule: long non-coding RNA, 341 nt
Organism: Callithrix jacchus (white-tufted-ear marmoset)
Lineage: Eukaryota; Metazoa; Chordata; Mammalia; Primates; Cebidae
Source: RefSeq, a predicted model, not a curated record